RNAcentral lists this ribosomal RNA (253 nucleotides) under uncultured bacterium. Its description in RNAcentral is "partial 16S ribosomal RNA". It matches the Rfam family "Bacterial small subunit ribosomal RNA", at positions 524 to 776 of the family's 1533-position model. The record is from RNAcentral.
UACGGAGGGUGCGAGCGUUGUCCGGAAUCACUGGGCGUAAAGGGCGCGUAGGCGGCCUGGCAAGUCGAUGGUGAAAGCCCCCGGCUCAACUGGGGAGGGUCACGCGAUACUGAUCGACUCGAAGGCAGGAGAGGGAAGUGGAAUUCCCGGUGUAGCGGUGGAAUGCGCAGAUAUCAGGAAGAACACCCGUGGCGAAGGCGGCUCUCUGGGACGGUACUGACGCUGAGACGCGAAAGCGUGGGGAGCGAACAGG